GCGAGAGUGGCGGAACUGGCAGACGCGCUGGACUUAGGAUCCAGAGGGGUCACCCCCGUGGGGGUUCAACUCCCCCCUCUCGCACCA
Molecule: transfer RNA, 87 nt
Filed under: Gemmatimonadota bacterium
Lineage: Bacteria; Pseudomonadati; Gemmatimonadota
Description: Gemmatimonadetes bacterium tRNA-Leu
Rfam family: tRNA
About the family: Transfer RNA (tRNA) molecules are approximately 80 nucleotides in length. Their secondary structure includes four short double-helical elements and three loops (D, anti-codon, and T loops). Further hydrogen bonds mediate the characteristic L-shaped molecular structure. tRNAs have two regions of fundamental functional importance: the anti-codon, which is responsible for specific mRNA codon recognition, and the 3' end, to which the tRNAs corresponding amino acid is attached (by aminoacyl-tRNA synthetases). tRNAs cope with the degeneracy of the genetic code in two manners: having more than one tRNA (with a specific anti-codon) for a particular amino acid; and 'wobble' base-pairing, i.e. permitting non-standard base-pairing at the 3rd anti-codon position.
Source: RNAcentral